Molecule: microRNA, 22 nt
Filed under: Macaca mulatta (Rhesus monkey)
Lineage: Eukaryota; Metazoa; Chordata; Mammalia; Primates; Cercopithecidae
Description: mml-miR-7192-3p
Source: miRBase by way of RNAcentral
UUGUUUUUUAUUCUGAGUGACA